This 1333-nucleotide ribosomal RNA is filed under the name metagenome. RNAcentral's name for it is "bacterial LSU rRNA". It matches the Rfam family "Bacterial large subunit ribosomal RNA", at positions 1580 to 2925 of the family's 2925-position model. The record is from RNAcentral.
CAGUAGCGAAGUUCCUGAUGUCACACUGCCAAGAAAAGCUUCUAGUGAGAAAGUAACUGCCCGUACCGCAAACCGACACAGGUAGUUGAGGAGAGAAUCCUAAGGUGUGCGAGAGAACUCUCGUUAAGGAACUCGGCAAAAUGACCCCGUAACUUCGGGAGAAGGGGUGCUGACCGCAAGGUCAGCCGCAGUGAAUAGGCCCAAGCGACUGUUUAUCAAAAACACAGGUCUCUGCAAAAUCGAAAGAUGACGUAUAGGGGCUGACGCCUGCCCGGUGCUGGAAGGUUAAGAGGAGAGGUUAGCGCAAGCGAAGCUUUGAAUUGAAGCCCCAGUAAACGGCGGCCGUAACGAUAACGGUCCUAAGGUAGCGAAAUUCCUUGUCGGGUAAGUUCCGACCCGCACGAAAGGCGUAACGAUUUGGGCACUGUCUCAACGAGAGACUCGGUGAAAUUAUAGUACCAGUGAAGAUGCUGGUUACCCGCGACAGGACGGAAAGACCCCAUGGAGCUUUACUGCAGUUUGAUAUUGCGUGUUUGUAUCACAUGUACAGGAUAGGUAGGAGCCGAAGAUACCGGGACGCCAGUCUCGGAGGAGGCAACGGUGGGAUACUACCCUUGUGAUAUGACCACUCUAACCCGCUGCUCUUAGCGAGCAGGGAGACAGUGUCAGACGGGCAGUUUGACUGGGGCGGUCGCCUCCAAAAAUGUAACGGAGGCGCCCAAAGGUUCCCUCAGAAUGGUUGGAAAUCAUUCGUAGAGUGUAAAGGCAGAAGGGAGCUUGACUGCGAGACCUACAAGUCGAGCAGGGACGAAAGUCGGGCUUAGUGAUCCGGUGGUUCCGCAUGGAAGGGCCAUCGCUCAACGGAUAAAAGCUACCCUGGGGAUAACAGGCUUAUCUCCCCCAAGAGUUCACAUCGACGGGGAGGUUUGGCACCUCGAUGUCGGCUCAUCGCAUCCUGGGGCUGUAGUCGGUCCCAAGGGUUGGGCUGUUCGCCCAUUAAAGCGGUACGCGAGCUGGGUUCAGAACGUCGUGAGACAGUUCGGUCCCUAUCCGUCGCGGGCGUUGGAAAUUUGAGAGGAGCUGUCCUUAGUACGAGAGGACCGGGAUGGACACACCGCUGGUGUACCAGUUGUUCUGCCAAGAGCAUCGCUGGGUAGCUAUGUGUGGACGGGAUAAACGCUGAAAGCAUCUAAGCGUGAAGCCCCCCUCAAGAUGAGAUUUCCCAUCACUUUAAGUGAGUAAGACCCCUGAGAGAUGAUCAGGUAGAUAGGUUGGGAGUGGAAGUACAGCGAUGUAUGGAGCGGACCAAUACUAAUCGGUCGAGGACUUAACC